GACCGCUUAGCUCAGUUGGUAGAGCGUCACGUUGACAUCGUGAAGGUCGGUGGUUCAAGCCCACCAGCGGUCA
RNAcentral lists this transfer RNA (73 nucleotides) under Candidatus Gottesmanbacteria bacterium. RNAcentral's name for it is "tRNA-Val". It matches the Rfam family "tRNA". Rfam says of the family: Transfer RNA (tRNA) molecules are approximately 80 nucleotides in length. Their secondary structure includes four short double-helical elements and three loops (D, anti-codon, and T loops). The record is from RNAcentral. Lineage: Bacteria; Candidatus Gottesmaniibacteriota.